This 493-nucleotide ribosomal RNA is filed under the name uncultured bacterium. Its description in RNAcentral is "partial 16S ribosomal RNA". It matches the Rfam family "Bacterial small subunit ribosomal RNA", at positions 28 to 507 of the family's 1533-position model. The record is from RNAcentral.
GACGAACGCUGGCGGCGUGUUUAACACAUGCAAGUCGAACGGUGAAGCGCCUUCCUUUUUGGUGGGUGUGGAUGAGUGGCGAACGGGUGAGUAACACGUGAGUAACCUGCCCCCUUCUUCUGGAUAACCGCAUGAAAGUGUGGCUAAUACGGGAUAUUCUGGGUCUGUCGCAUGAUGGGUCUGGGAAAGAUAUUGUUUCGGUGGGGGAUGGGCUCGCGGCCUAUCAGCUUGUUGGUGGGGUGAUGGCCUACCAAGGCGGUGACGGGUAGCCGGCCUGAGAGGGUGGACGGUCACACUGGGACUGAGACACGGCCCAGACUCCUACGGGAGGCAGCAGUGGGGAAUAUUGCACAAUGGCGCAAGCCUGAUGCAGCGACGCCGCGUGAGGGAUGGAGGCCUUCGGGUUGUGAACCUCUUUCGCCAGUGAAGCAGGCCUGCCUCGUUUGUGGGUGGGUUGACGGUAGCUGGAUAAGAAGCGCCGGCUAACUACGUG